GUGGGGAAUCUUCCGCAAUGGACGAAAGUCUGACGGAGCAACGCCGCGUGAACGAUGACGGCCUUCGGGUUGUAAAGUUCUGUUAUACGGGACGAAUGGUGCGACGGCCAAUACCCGUCGUAAGUGACGGUACCGUAAGAGAAAGCCACGGCUAACUACGUGCCAGCAGCCGCGGUAAUACGUAGGUGGCAAGCGUUGUCCGGAAUUAUGGGGCGUAAAGGGCGCGCAGGCGGCGUCGUAAGUCGGUCUUAAAAGUGCGGGGCUUAACCCCGUGAGGGGACCGAAACUGCGAUGCUAGAGUAUCGGAGAGGAAAGCGGAAUUCCUAGUGUAGCGGUGAAAUGCGUAGAUAUUAGGAGGAACACCAGUGGCGAAAGCGGCUUUCUGGACGACAACUGACGCUGAGGCGCGAAAGCCAGGGGAGCAAACGGGAUUAGAAACCCGGGUAGUCC
RNAcentral lists this ribosomal RNA (450 nucleotides) under uncultured bacterium. RNAcentral's name for it is "partial 16S ribosomal RNA". It matches the Rfam family "Bacterial small subunit ribosomal RNA", at positions 354 to 796 of the family's 1533-position model. The record is from RNAcentral.